RNAcentral lists this ribosomal RNA (442 nucleotides) under uncultured bacterium. RNAcentral's name for it is "partial 16S ribosomal RNA". It matches the Rfam family "Bacterial small subunit ribosomal RNA", at positions 338 to 795 of the family's 1533-position model. The record is from RNAcentral.
CCUACGGGGAGCAGCAGUGGGGAAUAUUGGGCAAUGGGCGCAAGCCUGACCCAGCAACGCCGCGUGAAGGAAGAAGGCUUUCGGGUUGUAAACUUCUUUUGUCAGGGAAGAGUAGAAGACGGUACCUGACGAAUAAGCCACGGCUAACUACGUGCCAGCAGCCGCGGUAAUACGUAGGUGGCAAGCGUUGUCCGGAUUUACUGGGUGUAAAGGGCGUGUAGCCGGGUUGACAAGUCAGAUGUGAAAUCCUGCGGCUUAACCGCAGAACUGCAUUUGAAACUGUUGAUCUUGAGUACUGGAGAGGCAGACGGAAGUCCUAGUGUAGCGGUGAAAUGCGUAGAUAUUAGGAGGAACACCAGUGGCGAAGGCGGUCUGCUGGACAGCAACUGACGGUGAGGCGCGAAAGCGUGGGGAGCAAACAGGAUUAGAUACCCCAGUAGUC